This 1390-nucleotide long non-coding RNA is filed under the name Homo sapiens (human). RNAcentral describes it as "novel transcript". The record is from RNAcentral. Lineage: Eukaryota; Metazoa; Chordata; Mammalia; Primates; Hominidae.
UUUUUUUUUUUUUUUUUUUUUUUUGGUAACUGUGUCUUGUUCUUCCCAAGACCAUUUUUUUUUCUCAACUCCUGCCCCUUCCCACAUUCCUACCACUGAAUUCAAAUCCUGACUUUGCCAAUGACAAGGAGUGUAACUUUGAGUAGAUUGCUCAACCUCUAGUCAUGACAGAGUUUCCUCAUUUGUAAGACAGUAGAAAUACUUACCUUAAAGGGCUGUUAGAAUUAAAUGAAGUAAUAUAUGUCAAACAGAACAGCACCUGUAUAUAAUACAUGCUAUGCAAGUAUUUGCUAUUAUCAUUUUGAACACAGACUCUGUGCUACAUAGACUAGCAAAGACUUCUAUGACGGUAGGGCUUAUGGUGGCCUUGUUUAUUUUGAUUUGCUCAAUGACUAGCACAGUGCCUUGCAUUAAAUAGUUGUACAUUAAAUAUUUGUAGCAGGAAUACAGAAUGAGUGAAUGAAUGGUCACCAUUCAUUAAAUAUCAUCAUAAUGGAUAAUAGCAGAAAAGAUACCUAACCCUUAUUAAGAAAUUUCCAUAAACCUCCUGUCCUUAUCUGAAAAAUGAGGGAAAUAAUAGCUUCUUUACAGGACUGUUAUGAGAUUUCAGUGACAAUAAAGUAUGUAAACUACUAUACCAGUGCCCAGCACACUAAGCUCAACAAUCACGGGCUUUUCUCUCUGGACUCAAAAGUUAGUAGGUCUAACUCUUUCCCUGGGUUCCAAUAUUAGGUUCUCAGUUUGGCGUCCUUGGCUGUCCCCUUUAUUAUGGCAUUUGUGACAAGAUGAUCUGUCUUCUCAACCUCCUAUUGUUGUUAUAAAAUCUCUGUGAAAGGCAGCAGCCUCCUCUGCCUUCCAUAUUAACCAGCACUUUCCCUGUCCAGAAGUUAUUCCAUCUUACGGAUAUUGAGAAGAUAAAUGGAAGUGAUUAGAAUGUACUUUCCAAACAUAAAACAUUGUACUGUAGGAGUUUGUCAAAGGGGAUUAAUAUUACCACAUAUCUGUAGAAGAACUUUAUGAAGACCCUGUGUAUCUCUCAACCUUAAUGACUAAGAUUGUAGAUAUGAUAGAAAUCUGUAAAUAGCAUGGAAAAGCAAAUUUAUUGAAGUCUAGGACAACUGCAUUACCCAGCUGUACAUAGUGUGUUCUUUCUUCAGAGAUUGCAAUAAAUGAAAAAGAUGGUUGCCAUAGAGAUAAACUGUGCCCUUUGGCUAGCUGAUUAGAAGACCAUUUCAACCUACUAUAAGAGAAUAUAUUUUGCCUGUAAGUGGUAUUUACAGAUAAUUUCUAUCACAGUUGUAACCCAAGUUUUUAAAGCUGAAAUGUUAAACCUAUAAAUGUUGAAUUCCAUAAAGGCUUUUGUUCCUUUAGUAAAACUUAUUUUAACAUU